Molecule: non-coding RNA, 171 nt
Organism: Vicia faba (fava bean)
Lineage: Eukaryota; Viridiplantae; Streptophyta; Magnoliopsida; Fabales; Fabaceae
Source: the annotation of a GenBank genome assembly
AUGCGUUUGAUUGCUAACUUUUAUUCUUUUUCUUUGUCUUGUUUCAUGAACACGAGAAUUGGAUGGCAAGCGAUGUUAAACGAUAAAAAUACCAUGGCGAGGAGCAAGGACGAAUGGCCUGAAGAUGAAGACUUGAAGAAACACACAUUAUUUCUCUCUUUUUUUUUGUAA